AUGCACGCUGGCGGCGUGCCUAAUACCUGCAAGUCGAGCGCACAGACGAGGAGCUUGCUCCUCUGACGUUAGCGGCGGACGGGUGAGUAACACGUGGAUAACCUACCUAUAAGACUGGGAUAACUUCGGGAAACCGGAGCUAAUACCGGAUAAUAUAUUGAACCGCAUGGUUCAAUAGUGAAAGACGGUUUUGCUGUCACUUAUAGAUGGAUCCGCGCCGCAUUAGCUAGUUGGUAAGGUAACGGCUUACCAAGGCAACGAUGCGUAGCCGACCUGAGAGGGUGAUCGGCCACACUGGAACUGAGACACGGUCCAGACUCCUACGGGAGGCAGCAGUAGGGAAUCUUCCGCAAUGGGCGAAAGCUUGACGGAGCAACGCCGCGUGAGUGAUGAAGGUCUUCGGAUCGUAAAACUCUGUUAUUAGGGAAGAACAAAUGUGUAAGUAACUAUGCACGUCUUGACGGUACCUAAUCAGAAAGCCACGGCUAACUACGUG
RNAcentral lists this ribosomal RNA (496 nucleotides) under uncultured bacterium. RNAcentral's name for it is "partial 16S ribosomal RNA". It matches the Rfam family "Bacterial small subunit ribosomal RNA", at positions 29 to 507 of the family's 1533-position model. The record is from RNAcentral.